CCAGACUCCUACGGGAGGCAGCAGUGGGGGAUAUUGCACAAUGGGGGGAACCCUGAUGCAGCGACGCCGCGUGGGUGAAGGAGCGUUUCGGCGCGUAAAGCCCUAUCGGCAGGGAAGAAGAUGACGGCACCUGACCAAGAAGCCCCGGCUCACUACGUGCCAGCAGCCGCGGGAAUACGUAGGGGGCAAGCGUUAUCCGGAAUUACUGGGUGUAAAGGGGGCGCAGACGGCAGUGCAAGUCUGGAGUGAAAGCCCGUGGCUUAACUACGGGACUGCUCUGGAAACUGUGCAGCUAGAGUGCAGGAGAGGCAGGCGGAAUUCCUAGUGUAGCGGUGAAAUGCGUAGAUAUUAGGAGGAACACCAGUGGCGAAGGCGGUCUGCUGGACAGCAACUGACGCUGAGGCGCGAAAGCGUGGGGAGCAAACAGGAUUAGAUACCCGAGUAG
This 445-nucleotide ribosomal RNA is filed under the name uncultured bacterium. RNAcentral's name for it is "partial 16S ribosomal RNA". It matches the Rfam family "Bacterial small subunit ribosomal RNA", at positions 331 to 793 of the family's 1533-position model. The record is from RNAcentral.